This 525-nucleotide ribosomal RNA is filed under the name Escherichia coli. RNAcentral's name for it is "partial 23S ribosomal RNA". It matches the Rfam family "Bacterial large subunit ribosomal RNA", at positions 1 to 565 of the family's 2925-position model. Lineage: Bacteria; Pseudomonadati; Pseudomonadota; Gammaproteobacteria; Enterobacterales; Enterobacteriaceae. The record is from RNAcentral.
GGUUAAGCGACUAAGCGUACACGGUGGAUGCCCUGGCAGUCAGAGGCGAUGAAGGACGUGCUAAUCUGCGAUAAGCGUCGGUAAGGUGAUAUGAACCGUUAUAACCGGCGAUUUCCGAAUGGGGAAACCCAGUGUGAUUCGUCACACUAUCAUUAACUGAAUCCAUAGGUUAAUGAGGCGAACCGGGGGAACUGAAACAUCUAAGUACCCCGAGGAAAAGAAAUCAACCGAGAUUCCCCCAGUAGCGGCGAGCGAACGGGGAGCAGCCCAGAGCCUGAAUCAGUGUGUGUGUUAGUGGAAGCGUCUGGAAAGGCGCGCGAUACAGGGUGACAGCCCCGUACACAAAAAUGCACAUGCUGUGAGCUCGAUGAGUAGGGCGGGACACGUGGUAUCCUGUCUGAAUAUGGGGGGACCAUCCUCCAAGGCUAAAUACUCCUGACUGACCGAUAGUGAACCAGUACCGUGAGGGAAAGGCGAAAAGAACCCCGGCGAGGGGAGUGAAAAAGAACCUGAAACCGUGUACGU